UGAUGACAAGACUCCUUGUGACACUUAGCCUCGAGACCACGCCGAUUGAAAAAUCGGCAAUCAUAGUCCAAUCAUAGAUAGUGUAGAAAGAGGGAUUGGAAAGGGAUCCAGGCUGCGCAGGAAGUUAAUUCACUGCACCGGAAGCUAAUAAUAGUUUCUUCACAUCACCUUGGGAUAUAUGGGAUGGCAGCACAGAUUACAGAGCAGACAGACAGCAUAUGAGACUUGAGAAGAGCUAGAGCUAAAGAGCAGUGAUGAGAGAAACACUCUACUGAGAUCGAGAGAAGCCACUAAGCAUCUGUUUGUGAAGACGAAGGAUUCAAGAUAUUUAGCAGUGCCAGCAUCAUGUAAUUGCACUGACUUUAGCAACAAAGUUGUAGCUAUGAAUGUAUGAUUUACGAGGGAAAUACAAUUUAUAGCUUGAUCACUUUAGCGUAUUGUGUAUUCACACUCUUUAGUAUUAUAGUUCAUUCGAUUCAUAAUUAUAA
Molecule: long non-coding RNA, 488 nt
Organism: Halichondria panicea
Lineage: Eukaryota; Metazoa; Porifera; Demospongiae; Suberitida; Halichondriidae
Exons: 2
Source: RefSeq, a predicted model, not a curated record